CCUACGGGAGGCAGCAGUGGGGAAUUUUGCGCAAUGCUCGUAAGAGUGACGCAGCGACGCCGCGUGAAUGACGAAUGCCCUCGGGUCGUAAAGUUCUUUCGACAGGGAAGAAAAUGCCUAUAAGUAACUGUGUAUGUAUUGACGGUACCUGUAUAAGCAGCCCCGGCUAACUCCGUGCCAGCAGCCGCGGUAAUACGGAGGGGGCGAGCGUUGUUCGGAGGGACUGGGCGUAAAGAGCACGUAGGCGGUGUUGUAAGUCAUUAGUCAAAGACUAGAGCUCAACUUUAGUAAGGCUAGUGAUACUAUAAUACUAGAGUAUCAGAGAGGAGUGCAGAAUUCCUGGUGUAGCGGUGAAAUGCGUAGAUAUCAGGAGGAAUACCGUUAGCGAAGGCGGCAAUCUGGCUGGAAACUGACGCUGAGGUGCGAAAGCGUGGGUAGCAAACAGGAUUAGAUACCCGGGUAGUC
This 465-nucleotide ribosomal RNA is filed under the name uncultured bacterium. Its description in RNAcentral is "partial 16S ribosomal RNA". It matches the Rfam family "Bacterial small subunit ribosomal RNA", at positions 338 to 795 of the family's 1533-position model. The record is from RNAcentral.